Long non-coding RNA from Xiphias gladius (swordfish), 732 nucleotides. RefSeq lists it as uncharacterized. The transcript is spliced from 3 exons. Lineage: Eukaryota; Metazoa; Chordata; Actinopteri; Istiophoriformes; Xiphiidae. The record is from RefSeq and is a predicted model, not a curated record.
UCCUCUUCAACGUCGGCGUCGUCAUCGUCAUCUUCCUCCGCGUCGGAGAGCUCGGGCAUCUCCUCAGCAGCUCCAUCGCCGCCUGUCAAAGUAAAAUCCUCAUUACAGCCGCGGUCCACAGAAAACAGGAGCUGCAUGAGGCGCAGACUGGCGUGAUUGUAAUGGACGGUCUACGCGUGCACGAGUCCCAGAGGUGACAUAAAGCAAGGUACAAGACACCUGCGGAAAAGACCAGCUUCCGCGUGCGGAGGGCAGACGUUUUGUCAUAGUGGGGAAAGUAACAGGUGUCGCCACUACCAUUGAUGAUCGUUCCAAUAUGUCCAAGUGUUACUCGACACGCGGGACAGCAGGCGCAAGUGCCAGGACCCUGCGACCAAAGCGGCUCGGCCACAAAUCAUUUCAUCAUCAUUUAUUUCACACUGUGACGCGCCAACAUAUCUUCUGUCGGGGGAAGAGCAUCAUCAUCAUCAUCUGUUUUAAGUGGAAAAUAUCACCCCCGGACAGUAUGUUGUCCUUUUUUUUUUUUCCUGGUGUAACCGGUCAACACAAGUGCCGCUUGGUUUCCGUUUAAUUCGAUAAAAAGGCCUGUGUCAGUAGACUUAUUGGCACCAUGAGUACCCUUUCCAUCUUGCAGCAGCAUAGGUCUGCGGAAAUUUUUAAUUUCAUCGCCAGGUUUCAAGAAAAACCCUGCUGGGGAAAGAGUCCAUGUCAUAUGGGCCCAUACAGCCCAAU